UACGAAGGGGGCUAGCGUUGCUCGGAAUUACUGGGCGUAAAGGGCGCGUAGGCGGAUGAUUUAGUCAGGCGUGAAAGCCCCGGGCUCAACCUGGGAAUUGCGCUUGAAACGGGUCAUCUUGAGGGCGAGAGAGGGUGGUGGAAUUCCCAGUGUAGAGGUGAAAUUCGUAGAUAUUGGGAAGAACACCGGUGGCGAAGGCGGCCACCUGGCUCGCACCUGACGCUGAGGCGCGAAAGCGUGGGGAGCAAACAGG
RNAcentral lists this ribosomal RNA (253 nucleotides) under uncultured bacterium. RNAcentral describes it as "partial 16S ribosomal RNA". It matches the Rfam family "Bacterial small subunit ribosomal RNA", at positions 524 to 776 of the family's 1533-position model. The record is from RNAcentral.